ACUCCUACGGGAGGCAGCAGUGGGAAUAUUGCACAAUGGGCGAAAGCCUGAUGCAGCAAUGCCGCGUGUGUGAAGAAGGCCUGCGGGUUGUAAAGCACUUUUAUCGGGAAAGAAAACCAGGGCUAAUACCCUUGGUCUUGACGGUACCCGUUGAAUAAGCACCGGCUAACUCCGUGCCAGCAGCCGCGGUAAUACGAAGGUGGCAAGCGUUGUUCGGAUUUACUGGGCGUACAGGGUGUGUAGGCGGUUCGGUAAGCCCUCUGGGAAAUCUCUGGGCUCAACCCAGAAAGGUCAGAGGGGACUGCCGGGCUAGAGGACGGGAGAGGAGCGCGGAAUUCCCGGUGUAGCGGUGAAAUGCGUAGAUAUCGGGAGGAAGGCCGGUGGCGAAGGCGGCGCUCUGGAACGUACCUGACGCUGAGACACGAAAGCGUGGGGAGCAAACAGGAUUACAUACCCUGGUA
This 461-nucleotide ribosomal RNA is filed under the name uncultured bacterium. Its description in RNAcentral is "bacterial SSU rRNA". It matches the Rfam family "Bacterial small subunit ribosomal RNA", at positions 335 to 792 of the family's 1533-position model. The record is from RNAcentral.